This 522-nucleotide ribosomal RNA is filed under the name Thiobacillus sp. Its description in RNAcentral is "bacterial SSU rRNA". It matches the Rfam family "Bacterial small subunit ribosomal RNA", at positions 1 to 522 of the family's 1533-position model. The record is from RNAcentral. Lineage: Bacteria; Pseudomonadati; Pseudomonadota; Betaproteobacteria; Nitrosomonadales; Thiobacillaceae.
UGGAGAGUUUGAUCCUGGCUCAGAUUGAACGCUGGCGGCAUGCCUAACACAUGCAAGUCGAACGGCAGCAGGUCCUUCGGGAUGCUGGCGAGUGGCGGACGGGUGAGUAACGCGUAGGAAUCUGUCCUCGAGUGGGGGAUAACCCAGGGAAACUUGGGCUAAUACCGCAUACGCCCUGAGGGGGAAAGCGGGGGAUCUUCGGACCUCGCGCUGGAGGAGGAGCCUGCGUCCGAUUAGCUAGUUGGUGGGGUAAAGGCCUACCAAGGCGACGAUCGGUAGCUGGUCUGAGAGGACGAUCAGCCACACUGGGACUGAGACACGGCCCAGACUCCUACGGGAGGCAGCAGUGGGGAAUUUUUCGCAAUGGGGGCAACCCUGACGAAGCAAUGCCGCGUGUGUGAAGAAGGCCUUCGGGUUGUAAAGCACUUUCAGCGGGGACGAAAAGGUACGGGCGAACAGUCCGUGCUGUUGACGUGAACCGCAGAAGAAGCACCGGCUAACUCCGUGCCAGCAGCCGCGGUA